UACGUAGGUGACGAGCGUUGUCCGGAUUUACUGGGCGUAAAGAGCACGCAGGCGGUCGUGCAAGUCGAGUGUGAAAGCCCCCGGCUCAACUGGGGAGGGUCGCUCGAUACUGUUCGACUUGAAGGCGGGAGAGGGAUGCGGAAUUCCCGGUGUAGUGGUGAAAUGCGUAGAUAUCGGGAGGAACACCAGUGGCGAAGGCGGCAUCCUGGCCCGUUCUUGACGCUCAUGUGCGAAAGCUAGGGGAG
Molecule: ribosomal RNA, 245 nt
Filed under: uncultured bacterium
Lineage: Bacteria
Description: partial 16S ribosomal RNA
Rfam family: Bacterial small subunit ribosomal RNA
Source: RNAcentral